This is a non-coding RNA of Microcebus murinus (gray mouse lemur), 3338 nucleotides long. NCBI's taxonomy places the organism in Eukaryota, Metazoa, Chordata, Mammalia, Primates, Cheirogaleidae. The record is from RefSeq and is a predicted model, not a curated record.
UGCAGUCGGGAGCCCAAACUCCCCUCCCUCCAGGAGGGACCGCGAAAGGGCAAGGAGCUGGCCCAGAUUCUGCUCACAGAUCAGAGGAAACAAAGCUCGCUGGACAAAGGAUGGAGCCAGCUGAGACCUGUCCCUGUCCCGCCAGAAGGGUCCGCAGUUCGGGGGAUCGGGCUGCUCCUCCCACCCAGGGCAUCGCUGACUACGAUUUCUGCGCUCGGCAGUUAAGGCUGCACCGCCCGACCUCGGCUAACCUUGCACACCUCCUCGCCCCACAACCUUACCCCCCACCCUGCCACGCCCGCGCGGCCCCGACGCGAUCCAGGCACGCCCAGGCUUUGGGGAGCUUCUGCAGCCCGCCCGGACGGGGCGGGGAGAACUUGGUGGUUCUGGGAUGCUGCUUCCUUCCCUCCUCGACCCCUCCGCGUAAGCCGGACAGGGGAACCCAGCCUUUCACCGCCCGGAAAAGUGGGAGUCCCCAAGGCGGAGACACAGGAGCUGCAGCCUCCCUCCCUGGCCCGACAUUCUUGAGCAGGAUGGACACAGCUGACUCAGAGCUGGCACAUACCGCUGAGUUCUGCCAGAAACAAGGGCUGGGCCCAGCCCUGCUCAGAGAAACCUGGCGGCUGCUCUGACCUGUGGGUCAGCCCUCACUCCAGUCCUCUCCUCUCCUCCCCGGCUGCCUGCCCCUCCUCUCUCGCACAAGCUGGGAGGUACUCUGCUUGUUUCUGCUGGGCGCAUGCCUGCGCGGAAGGACUGCGCAUCUGUAUAUGGAGGGGCCAGGGGAGGCACAGCAAGAGGCUUCGUACUCAACCACAAAGUUGCUGGAUCCUGCCCGCCUGCCCUCAAUUCCAGGGCCCUCUGUGGGCCCAGCCCUGGCCAGGUGCCUAAAUCACCCUCCUCACAGACCAGUUCUCAGAUGCCUCUGCAAGAUGCCCUGAGAUCCUGUGACUCACAGGGCUCCGCGUCGGGCUUAGUUUGGGUGUGCAAAGGGCCCACACAUGCCCAAAGACUAGUUCUGCAACAGUGGAGUGUCAGGCGUCUCACCAACCCUACACAGCCAUCCCUAGUCUCCAGUGGUGCUUCUGGGAUGCCUGGAGACAGGGGAGAGAGGCAUAGUGUUACUGCCACACCUGCCUCAAGUCACUAUCCAUGGCCCCUCCACCACCACCCUCUCUGGACGCCUGUGGAGGGGGGAUUAUCAACUCAAGAAUGCCAACUUUCAGGAUGCUCAGGCUCCAGGUGUGCCUCAGGGCUGGGCCUGCCUAACCCCUCCCCCAUGAAACUCAAACCUACACAAGCCCGGGUAGGUGAGGUGGGUCGGGUUUCUUCUGCCCCCUCCCUGUCUUUAGCGCCCCUGUCCCCAGCAAGACACCGGGAUGAAGGGGCUGCUUAAAUCUUGACUCUGCACUUUCCUGUGAGACUUUGAACAAGUCACUUCGCCUCUCUGGAGCCCUGUAAUCGGGAGCUAUAAUCAUCCUUGGAAUUGGCUGAAAUAAUGGAUGUCAAGUACAGGGAACAAAUAAGUACCCUCUAGAAGAACACGAGCUGGAAUCCCAUCUUCCCACAGCCAUGCCCUGUCUGGGCUCCUCGACAGAUCCUGGUGGCCACAGAGCCCAGCAAGAAGCUCUUGGUCUAAGGCCACGCCCCUGCUGCCUUCAAGGGCUGGAAAACGCCAUCUGGGUUUCCUCCAAAGGGUCCUGUUCCCAAGUCCAGACGCGUCAGGAGGAAAGGUGAAGGGUGUCCAAUCAAGGGAGCAGCUAUGGCGAAGCGGGGGUCCCCCGGUCACCCAGGGUCAGGUCCUCAGGCCCUGACCGUGCAGGGAUCCAGAAUGCCAUGAUGGACCACAAGGUUGCAGUGCCUGUCAGUAGUCCCAGGACAGUAUAGGAUUAUUUGGGGCUACUUUUCCCAUACUUAUCUUUGUGGGAUUUCAGUGUAUAUUCAUUUGUGAAUGUAACUUGUUUGUUUCCCUGCAGGCUAAUCCCUAUGCUCACCUCCACCCCAUAGGCAGAGUGUAGUGCUUGGUGCGGGGGGAACAGUCAGGAGAAUUGUCCUCAGACCCUUAGCUGAGGGAGGAGGUGCAGGCAGACCCACCCGAGGGAGGAGGCAUGCUUAAGGAGUGUGUGAACUGAAGAAGACACUGAAACCUCCAUUCGAAAACCGUUCUGCUAUUUCACUUAUACACCACAAGUAUUUAUUGAGCAGCUACUGUGUACCGGGCACUGUUCUAGAGCCUUGGGAAUCAUCAGUGAACAAAACACACCAAAAAUCCUACCCUCCUGGAGCUUAAAUAGUAAGAGAAAGAAAAGACAACUAUCAUGAACAUAAGAAGUGAAUUGUGUAGUAUAUUAGAAGGUGAUAAGGAAAUGGAAAAAAGUAGGAUAAGAGAGUUCAGGAAUGGGACAGAGUUAAACUUUAAAAGUAGGGUAAUCAAACUGGAUUUUAUGGGGAAGGUGACAUGUGAACAAAGACUGGGGAGUGACCCAUUUAGAGAUUUCUAGGGCAAAGGAUUCCAGGCACAGGGAGCAGGCAGUUCCAAGACCCUGAGGCAGGAGCGGGUCCACUAAGCCAGAGGAAGAGCAAGGAGGCCAGGGUGGCUGGGCCUUAGAGAGCGAGGGGGAGUGGUAAUGGGAGAAGACUGGGAGGUAACAGGGACCAGAUUCCUGUGGGGCCUUACAGGGGCUUCCACUUUCACUCUGGGAGAAAUGGGGAGCGUUUGGAAAGCUUCAGGCUGAGGAGGGAGAUGAUCCGACUCAUGAUUUAGCAAAACCCUCUGGCCAGUGGAAGAAGUUGCCAUGGAGGGACAGGGCCGAAGCAGGGAGCCCAGGGAGGAGACUCUUGAGAUAAAUAAUUGAGGCAGGAGUGGAUGGUGGCUCAGACCUCAGUGCUAAGAUUGGAGGUCGGGAAGAGUGGGAGGACUCCACAUCCUUUCUGAAGGUAGAGCCCACAGGACUUACUGGCAGGGGCUGCGAGAAGAGAGGAGUCAAGGAGGGCUCCAAAUCUGAGGCCUACACACCUGGAAGGACAAAGCACCCAUGAACUGAAACGGGGAAGGUGAGGAGGUGCCAGCUCUCUGUUUUGGACACAUUAAGUUUGAGGUCCCUCCAGACAUCCAAGGUAAGAUGUCAAGCACACGAUGGCUGUACAGGUCUGGAGUUUAGGAGGGAGAUGUGAACAGGCUGCUCAUAAUGGCACUAUUUAUAGUAGAAAAAAAGAAAAAAGUAGUCCUCCAUGAGUUGCUAUAGAAUGUAAUAAGUGAAAAAAGCAAACAGCAGGACAGUGUCAAUGUAUAACAUGAUUUCAUUUGUGUUUUUUAAAAAUUAAAACAAUGGUGUUAUAGA